AAAUCUUCUUUUUUAGAUCACAUCUCAACAGCCUGAUUAUUAUCUAUAUACCUAUCUCGUGUCACGGGGUUAGUGACUGAACUCCUCUCCUCUAAUAGGUAGGUCUGCGAAUCGGAUGUAAGCUAUUUUUCAUCUUCAUAUCUCUUUACGUUUUACCUGCUCAUAUCAGUUACAAGAGGUGCGAAAUGAAAAAUACCAACAUGGAACACGGAGAAGGAGUCAACCUCGACUGCUCAUACUUGACACUGUCAAACAAAAUGACCAAAAACGGCAAAAAAACUCUAACAUUUAACAAUUAAGGCACCACCCUAAAUGUUUAGCGGUCUGCUCAUAGGCACAGUUCAAAAAGAAUAGCAAUCUUUGUUGUUUUUCAAGUAGGUCUGCAAAUAGGUCGUACGAUUUUUUUUCUUCAUAUCACAACUUAACUAAUAAUCGCGAUUUGAAUGUGCUUUUUUGAUUAAUUAGGG
RNAcentral lists this long non-coding RNA (467 nucleotides) under Drosophila guanche. Lineage: Eukaryota; Metazoa; Arthropoda; Insecta; Diptera; Drosophilidae. The record is from RNAcentral.